CCUGUGCGGAAGAAUGCCAAGGAGACCAGGACUGUGGGGUAGGACGUCUAUGUGUCAGCAACGGAUGCGGCCAUGUCUGCUGGCCAGCCCUAGACCGAGAUGGAUCAAGACCUGGAAGUUGUCCAAGGCUGCCUCCAGGAACUAUUGGACCUUGUGUUGAACUGUGUAGCGGAGAUGAAUCUUGUCCCAUGGGACAAAAAUGCUGCAGCCAUGGUUGUGGCCACUCCUGCCAAACUGCUGUUCAAGAUGAGGAAGACUUCUCU
Molecule: non-coding RNA, 263 nt
Organism: Ceratotherium simum simum (southern white rhinoceros)
Lineage: Eukaryota; Metazoa; Chordata; Mammalia; Perissodactyla; Rhinocerotidae
Source: RefSeq, a predicted model, not a curated record